UGGGGAAUAUUGCACAAUGGGGGAAACCCUGAUGCAGCGACGCCGCGUGAACGAAGAAGGUAUUCGUAUCGUAAAGUUCUGUCCUAUGGGAAGAUAAUGACAGUACCAUAGAAGAAAGCUCCGGCUAAAUACGUGCCAGCAGCCGCGGUAAUACGUAUGGAGCGAGCGUUGUCCGGAAUUAUUGGGCGUAAAGGGUACGCAGGCGGUUUAAUAAGUCGAAUGUUAAAGAUCGGGGCUCAACCCCGCAAAGCAUUGGAAACUGAUAAACUUGAGUAGUGGAGAGGAAAGUGGAAUUCCUAGUGUAGUGGUGAAAUACGUAGAUAUAGGAGGAAUACCAGUAGCGAAGGCGACUUUCUGGACACAAACUGACGCUGAGGUACGAAAGCGUGGGGAGCAAACAGG
Molecule: ribosomal RNA, 402 nt
Filed under: bacterium
Lineage: Bacteria
Description: partial 16S ribosomal RNA
Rfam family: Bacterial small subunit ribosomal RNA
Source: RNAcentral